This 414-nucleotide ribosomal RNA is filed under the name uncultured prokaryote. RNAcentral describes it as "bacterial SSU rRNA". It matches the Rfam family "Bacterial small subunit ribosomal RNA", at positions 355 to 786 of the family's 1533-position model. The record is from RNAcentral.
UGGGGAAUAUUGGACAAUGGGGGCAACCCUGAUCCAGCCAUGCCGCGUGAGUGAUGAAGGUCCUAGGGUUGUAAAGCUCUUUCGCCGGUGAAGAUAAUGACGGUAACCGGUAAAGAAGCCCCGGCUAACUUCGUGCCAGCAGCCGCGGUAAUACGUAGGGGGCGAGCGUUGUCCGGAAUUAUUGGGCGUAAAGAGCGUGUAGGCGGCCCGGUAAGUCUGCCGUGAAAACCUGGGGCUCAACCCCGGGCGUGCGGUGGAUACUGCUGGGCUAGAGGAUGGUAGAGGCGAGUGGAAUUCCCGGUGUAGCGGUGAAAUGCGCAGAGAUCGGGAGGAACACCAGUAGCGAAGGCGGCUCGCUGGGCCAUUCCUGACGCUGAGACGCGAAAGCUAGGGGAGCGAACAGGAUUAGAUACC